This 264-nucleotide long non-coding RNA is filed under the name Elaeis guineensis (African oil palm). Its description in RNAcentral is "long non-coding RNA (EGUI_LNC031956)". Lineage: Eukaryota; Viridiplantae; Streptophyta; Magnoliopsida; Arecales; Arecaceae. The record is from RNAcentral.
CACACACUUAAAAAUACUUCUCUGAUGCACUUAAUAAGCUAAGAGUCACCUAAUCCAAAGGCUAAUGGGCCAGGGCUUAUCCAAAACCAUUGCCAUAGUGCUGGGUUUCCUUGUAACUUGAGCUAAAGGUCAUGACCCCAUUGACCCAGUUCUGUGUUAAUCAUGGGCUAGCAACCACUAGUCUGUGACAGCUUUGGAAUCAGACCCUCUCUAAAGAAAGAGAGAGACCCAACCAGGCAACCAAAUUUCAGCAUUAAACAUGGU